GACGAACGCUGGCGGCGUGCUUAACACAUGCCAGUCGAACGGAAAGGCCCUGCUUUUGUGGGGUGCUCGAGUGGCGAACGGGUGAGUAACACGUGAGUAACCUGCCCUUGACUUUGGGAUAACUUCAGGAAACUGGGGCUAAUACCGGAUAGGAGCUCCUGCUGCAUGGUGGGGGUUGGAAAGUUUCGGCGGUUGGGGAUGGACUCGCGGCUUAUCGGCUUGUUGGUGGGGUAGUGGCUUACCGAGGCUUUGACGGGUAGCCGGCCUGAGAGGGUGACCGGCGACAUUGGGACUGAGAGACGGCCCAGACUCCUACGGGAGGCAGCAGUGGGGAAUAUUGCACAAUGGGCGGAAGCCUGAUGCAGCAACGCCGCGUGCGGGAUGACGGCCUUCGGGUUGUAAACCGCUUUCGCCUGUGACGAAGCGUGAGUGACGGUAAUGGGUAAAGAAGCACCGGCUAACUACGUG
Molecule: ribosomal RNA, 468 nt
Filed under: uncultured bacterium
Lineage: Bacteria
Description: partial 16S ribosomal RNA
Rfam family: Bacterial small subunit ribosomal RNA
Source: RNAcentral